AAUGAAGUGCCUGAAUUAAAAGGGUUACUUUGAUAGAGUAAAUCAUGCAAUUAACCUGCCUUCAUUA
Molecule: transfer RNA, 67 nt
Filed under: Amphiops globus
Lineage: Eukaryota; Metazoa; Arthropoda; Insecta; Coleoptera; Hydrophilidae
Description: tRNA-Ile
Source: RNAcentral